This 827-nucleotide ribosomal RNA is filed under the name uncultured bacterium. RNAcentral's name for it is "bacterial SSU rRNA". It matches the Rfam family "Bacterial small subunit ribosomal RNA", at positions 49 to 875 of the family's 1533-position model. The record is from RNAcentral.
CUACCAUGCAAGUCGAGCGUGAUUUAUGAGGGACGAAACUUCGGUCUAGGAAUCAUAAUGCAAAGCGGCGGACGGGUGAGUAACGCGUAGGCAACCUGCCCUUGACACAGGGAUAGCCUCGGGAAACCGGGAUUAAAACCUGGUGACGCCAAACAGUCACAUGGCUGUUUGGCCAAAGAUUUAUCGGUCAAGGAUGGGCCUGCGUCUGAUUAGUUAGUUGGUGGGGUAACGGCCUACCAAGACGACGAUCAGUAGCCGACCUGAGAGGGUGAUCGGCCACAUUGGAACUGAGACACGGUCCAAACUCCUACGGGAGGCAGCAGUGGGGAAUAUUGCACAAUGGGCGAAAGCCUGAUGCAGCAACGCCGCGUGAGCGAUGAAGGCCUUUGGGUCGUAAAGCUCUGUCCUUGGGGAAGAAACAAAUGACGGUACCCAAGGAGGAAGCCCCGGCUAACUACGUGCCAGCAGCCGCGGUAAUACGUAGGGGGCAAGCGUUAUCCGGAAUUAUUGGGCGUAAAGAGUACGUAGGUGGUCUUUUAAGCGCAGGGUUUAAGGCAAUGGCUUAACCAUUGUUCGCCCUGUGAACUGGAAGACUUGAGUGUAGGAGAGGAAAGUGGAAUUCCUAGUGUAGCGGUGAAAUGCGUAGAUAUUAGGAGGAACAUCAGUGGCGAAGGCGACUUUCUGGACUAUUACUGACACUGAGGUACGAAAGCGUGGGGAGCAAACAGGAUUAGAUACCCUGGUAGUCCACGCCGUAAACGAUGAGCACUAGGUGUCGGGGUCGCAAGGCUUCGGUGCCGUAGUUAACGCAUUAAGUGCUCCGCCUG